This 309-nucleotide transfer RNA is filed under the name Ignavibacteriales bacterium. Its description in RNAcentral is "tRNA-Leu". The record is from RNAcentral. Lineage: Bacteria; Pseudomonadati; Ignavibacteriota; Ignavibacteria; Ignavibacteriales.
GGGCGGAUGGCGAAAUUGGCAGACGCGCUAGCCUUAGGAGCUAGUGAGGAAACUCGUGGGGGUUUCCCAAAGGGAUCGAGUUUGUGUAAAAACACACUUUUGUCACACUGAGCCUGCCUGUGCCGAAACGAAGCUUCGGCUUCGUGCCUGCACGCCAAAGUGCAUUUAUGUUUCGGCACGCAGGCGUGCAGGCAGGCGAAGCGAAGUGUCCCUUUCUAACGUGGAUUCUUCACUUCGUUCAGAAUGACUCGUAAAGAACUUGAGUUUUUACACAGUCUCGAUUACUUCGCGACGAAUCCCCCCUGCCCA